UGGGGAAUCUUGCGCAAUGCGCGAAAGCGUGACGCAGCAACGCCGCGUGGGGGAAGAAGGCCUUCGGGUUGUAAACCUCUUUCAGUUGGGACGAAGGCCUCGCGGUUAAUAGCCGUGGGGGUUGACGGUACCUUCAGAAGAAGCCCCGGCUAACUACGUGCCAGCAGCCGCGGUAAUACGUAGGGGGCAAGCGUUGUCCGGAAUCAUUGGGCGUAAAGAGCGUGUAGGCGGCCCGAUAAGUCCGCUGUGAAAGUCCAGGGCUCAACCCUGGAAUGCCGGUGGAUACUGUCGGGCUCGAGUUCGGAAGAGGUGAGUGGAAUUCCUGGUGUAGCGGUGAAAUGCGCAGAUAUCAGGAGGAACACCAAUGGCGAAGGCAGCUCACUGGGACGAUACUGACGCUGAGACGCGAAAGCGUGGGGAGCAAACAG
RNAcentral lists this ribosomal RNA (428 nucleotides) under uncultured bacterium. RNAcentral's name for it is "bacterial SSU rRNA". It matches the Rfam family "Bacterial small subunit ribosomal RNA", at positions 355 to 775 of the family's 1533-position model. The record is from RNAcentral.